UACGGAGGAUGCGAGCGUUAUCCGGAUUUAUUGGGUUUAAAGGGUGCGUAGGCGGGCUUUUAAGUCAGCGGUAAAAAUUCGGGGCUCAACCCCGUCCGGCCGUUGAAACUGGGGGUCUUGAGUGGGCGAGAAGUAUGCGGAAUGCGUGGUGUAGCGGUGAAAUGCAUAGAUAUCACGCAGAACUCCGAUUGCGAAGGCAGCAUACCGGCGCCCGACUGACGCUGAGGCACGAAAGCGUGGGGAUCGAACAGG
Molecule: ribosomal RNA, 252 nt
Filed under: uncultured bacterium
Lineage: Bacteria
Description: partial 16S ribosomal RNA
Rfam family: Bacterial small subunit ribosomal RNA
Source: RNAcentral